Molecule: ribosomal RNA, 475 nt
Filed under: uncultured organism
Description: partial 16S ribosomal RNA
Rfam family: Bacterial small subunit ribosomal RNA
Source: RNAcentral
ACACUCCUGCGGGAGGCAGCAGUGGGGAAUAUUGCACAAUGGGCGCAAGCCUGAUGCAGCCAUGCCGCGUGUAUGAAGAAGGCCUUCGGGUUGUAAAGUACUUUCAGCGGGGAGGAAGGCGAUAAGGUUAAUAACCUUGUCGAUUGACGUUACCCGCAGAAGAAGCACCGGCUAACUCCGUGCCAGCAGCCGCGGUAAUACGGAGGGUGCAAGCGUUAAUCGGAAUUACUGGGCGUAAAGCGCACGCAGGCGGUCUGUCAAGUCGGAUGUGAAAUCCCCGGGCUCAACCUGGGAACUGCAUUCGAAACUGGCAGGCUAGAGUCUUGUAGAGGGGGGUAGAAUUCCAGGUGUAGCGGUGAAAUGCGUAGAGAUCUGGAGGAAUACCGGUGGCGAAGGCGGCCCCCUGGACAAAGACCGACGCUCAGGUGCGAAAGCGUGGGGAGCAAACAGGAUUAGAUACCCGUGUAGUCCCAUG